GGGUCAACUCUCGAACAAAGUUUGGUUAUACCUACGGGGGCUAGACCUGUGGUGUCAUCAUCCAUACGGUUCUACCGUCUGGUAGUUGUAGCAAUAUUAUUAUCAUUAGUAGCUCACGCCUGACAUAAUAUUUUGAUAAAUCUAAUACAUUUUUAGAUUUAAAUAUGACUUUAAUAACUGAAUAAAUACUUUUCUUCUAUAAAAAUAUAGAGAGACACUCUCGUUGAAUAUUGUUUUAGUAACGCAUGGGUAAGAUUUUCUAAACGAAGUGUGGCAACCCCAAUUACUUAAUAAAAAAUAAAAAUGUUAUAAAAUGAAAAUGGCGUCAUUUCACCAAAUAUCUUAAAACACAAAUUCACGAAUAAUAAAAUAAAUGUUUGCCACGGCCUGUUAAUAUUUAUGAAGACCUCUUCAUGGAUUGGAUUUAAGCAACCUGCUGUGUAAUAUCCUCGCCAUUCUUGAUGUUGAGAAGAUCUAUAAGUCUUUUACGUUUCAUCUGAGUGUUGUGGUUUUUCAUGUUAAAAAUAAGACUUUGUUAUUUCAAGUGUCUCUAUAAGUAUGAAGAAGAACAAAAGAAAAUGCUUUGAGUGUGGUUCUUCGCCUGCCGAUGAUCCAGAGAAGACCCUACAGAGAUUACCGAAACUUGAUUCUACAAAUUUAGUCUCCGGUAGCUUAAUCUGGAGCAACAUAAGGUUAAUUAUGAAAUGGUAAUGAAAAUAAACAUCUGAGAAAAGCAAAUUCCAUGAACUAAUUUGAAAGUAUCUGUUACCAGAAGUAAAUUUUUUACUAUACCACUGUUCAAUAUUAAACCACAGGUAUAUGUACUAAAGGCAGUAAUGUCCAGAUAAUCAAUGAUUAGACUAUUGGACUUUUAGAAUAAAUUUUACAUUGAACUAUGAAUGGUUUGUCAUCCACAUUUUUAAAAAAAAUUUUAAUAAAAAAAAUUCAACCGACUUCCAAUUCAAAAAUUAACCUAAACUAAAAAGCAAAAAAUAACAUCUUACCUAUGUGCUACCUUCUGAUCAGUUUGAAGGCGGUGCCAAGCCAGUGAUGUUUUAAUUAGAGCCGUUUAAAUUACAAAAUUUCUGUGGUUCUUUCAGAAACGGCUUUAAUUAAAACAUGACACUAGAUUGGCACCGCCUUCAAACUGAUCAGAAGGUAGCACAUAGGUAAGAUGUUAUUUUUUGCUUUUUAGUUUAGGUUAAUUUUUGAAUUGGAAGUCGGUUGAAUUUUUUUUAUUAAAAUUUUUAUUUUUUAAUUUUUAGUGUUAGCACACCUACAGAGUGUGAACACAAAUUAAUAAGCAAUUAGUUGAAACGUUAUUUUUUUAUAAUAAGUAUCUAAGUCCUACAAUCCCAAUUUUAAAAAUACUACCUUAACUCAUAUACAAAAUUUUACUCCCCCUUUAUCCACACGUAAUAUGAAUAUUCAGAAAAUCGUGAAAGGUGACUGUCCUGCGUCAUCAUCACCAGACCCCCUAUGCAGUCACAUUCUCAUCAAUAUAAAAUUUAUCAAGUCCAAACACAAGGUAGCUACUGUGAACCGUCGAGGAGUUCCCUUAACUCUCCUUCAUCUUCGUCACCAAACCCCUAAUACAGUCACAACCCAUCUAGGUGGAAAGUUCUCAUCAAUACAAAAUUAUCAAGUCAAAACACAAUGUAGCUACUGUGAACCGUUGAGGAGUUCCCUUAACUAUCCUUCGUCUUCAUCACCAGACCCCUAAUACAGUCACAACCCAUCUAGGUGGAAAGUUCUCAUCAAUACAAAUUUAUCAAGUCCAAACACAAGGUAGCUACUGUGAACCGUUGAGGAGUUCUCUUAACUGUCAUUCGUCUUCAUCAUCAGACCCUUAAUACAGUCACAACCGAUCUAGGUGGAAAGUUCUCAUCAAUACAAAUAAAUCAAGCCCAAACAAAAGGUACCUGCUGUAAAUCGUUGACGAGUUCCAUCGUCUGUGUUUUGGCUCCAUCAUCAGACCAACUCCAGACCUUCAUAAAAUUGUAGUGGUUUAAAAUACCUUAUGGAAACACUAACAAACGCACUAGCCGUCCCUACAAUUUUCAAAAGAUCCCCUCGAUUUCUCCAAGAUGCCAUCAUCAGAUCCUGACAUGAAAAAAAUGGGACCACCCUGGAAUCAAACCCUUCAAAACAAAAAAAGAAUUUUCAAAAUCGGUCCACAAAUGACGGAAUUAUCGCUGGACAUACAUAAAAAAAAAAAAAAAAAAAAAAAAAAAAAAAAACAUACAUACAGUCGAACGUAGAACCUCCUCCUUUUUGGAAGUCGGUUAAAAAGACGAGAUGUUUUGCCUGUAAGAAGAAGAGAGAGAGAGAAUAAGAAGUUAAGUUAAACACCUACUGUAAAAUGCACACUGCUCCAAUGUGGGUUGAUAGGCUUGGGGUAAUAAAGUUAAAUUAUAAAAGGAUCACUAUCAGGUGUUAAUGUUAAUGACUGGGAUAUAUAGCAUAUCAUACUCUCUGAGAUAUAGGGAUAUAACACCAGCAACAGCUCUCCAGUGAUAGCAUCAUUGCUCUUUGCAUCUACAUGCCAUUGCCAGUUGUGGCAAUCGAACUCAUCAUAUUAGUGUGAUGAGCAUGGAUGUAUUUCAGUGUCUAUGUGGUUGUGAGUGUUAAAUAACAAGUAAUGGCCCAAAUAAUAAGUAGCCUAUAUGUUGCUCAAUAAUCUUCUCUAUCUUCCAGUAAAAGUCCCAUUAAAAUGACCCUGCUGUUCCAGAGAUUAGCUCAAACAAACAGACAGAUGAACAUUUUAAAGAAGUAUGGCUGUAUGUCAGUAUUGUAUAUAGGCACUUGAGAAAACACAGUUAUUUUGAAAUCACAGACAUACACUUAAAUUUUAUUUAUAUGUAUUGGUGCUGUUCAUAAAUAUAGCAUCAGCUGAAACAAACUAGGCAUAGUUAAGUUACAUUUUAUACAGGGUACUCGGGCCUAUUUCUCAUAAAUUCAAGGUGUUGACAAGUCCACUUAUAGCUACCUUAGCUACUAGUUUAUAUUGAGGAGAACUUUCCACCUAGAUGGGUUGUGACUGUAUUAGGGGUCUGGUGAAGAAGACGAAGGACAGUUAAGAGAACUCCUCAACGGUUCACAGUAGCUACCAUGUGUUGAUAAAUUUGUAUUGAUGAGAACUUUCCACCUAGAUGGGUUGUGACUGUAUGAGGGAUCUGGUAAUGAAGACAGUUAAGGGAACUCCUCGAUGGUUCACAGUAGUAAUUAGUUUGAUUCUAAGUCAGACACAAUCAAAUACAAUGUUUUAUCACGACUCAUAGCAACAUACCUUUGGCGCUAGAUCAAUAUCUAGGAUGAUUUCACUAAAAUUGAAUUUCUUUUAUUAAAAAUAAAAAAUUUUAAUAAAAGAAAUUCAACCAACUUCAAAAACAUAAAACAUACUGGCUAAACUAAAAAGCGAAAAAUAAUAUUAUACUAAGUUCAUAUCAUAUUAUGUUCUAACUGAUGAUCAGUUUGAAGGCUGUGCUACACCGGUGUUGUUUUAAUUUAAGCUGUUACUGAAAGAACUACAUGAAAGAACACUGUCUUAAAAACCUAAAUAUUUAUGAUAUUCUUACAUGGCUUGAAUUAAUACAUCAUUGGGCUAGCACCACCUUCAAACUGAUCAUCAGUUAGAACAUAAUAUGAUAUAUAGAACUUAGUAUAAUGUUAUUUUUUGUUUUUUAGUUUAGUAAGUAUGUUUUUGAAGUCGGUUGACUUGUUUUUAUUAAAGUUUUUUAAUACACAUGUUCCUUAGACAUUUUAAAUUAAUUUUCCUUAUAGAACUUGGAGCUACCCUAGAGUUAUGGGAAAUACUCCCGAGCACCCUGUAGAUGCUACUUAAUCCUACUAAUCCUUCAUUCAUCAGUAUCGGUUGGUGGGCUUGGAGUUUAUAAACAAUCCUGCUUCUUCACAUGAAUUUUACCCGCAUGACGACGGUUUUUAAUAUAAAAAAUAUUUACACAAUGUCUCAAAAAGCAAUCAAAGCUUUGAAAAAUAAACAAUGUUCGCAGAAGUUCAGUACCAACAAACUCACAAAAAAUGAGCCCAAAUUUAGCAUUACUUGCAAGCCAGACUAAGAAAUUUCAAGAAGAUAAUUUAAAAGAAGACAAUAGAAUAAACAGAUAAACAGAUGGAAACCAGGCAAUAGGUGUAGCAAAAUAGAAGAUGAAGGUCUAGCUGUGCCAGUGCUGAGCCACACAGUUGCUACUGGCAUGUUUGCAAAAUAGCACAAGGUGUAGCAAAAUAGAAGAUGAAGGUCUAGCUGUGCCAGUGCUGAGCCACACAGUUGCUACUGGCAUGUUUGCAAAAUAGCACAAGGUGUAGCAAAAUAGAAGAUGAAGGUCUAGCUGUGCCAGUCAGUGCUGAGCCACACAGUUUUUGCUGGCAUGUUUGCAAAAUAGCACAAGGUGUAGCAAAAUAGAAGAUGAAGGUCUAGCUGUGCCAGUGCUGAGCCACACAGUUGCUACUGGCAUGUUUGCAAAAUAGCACAAGGUGUAGCAAAAUAGAAGAUGAAGGUCUAGCUGUGCCAGUCAGUGCUGAGCCACACAGUUGCUGCCGGCAUGCUUGCAAAAUAGCACAAGCUGUAGCAAAAUAGAAGAUGAAGGUCUAGCUGUGCCAGUGCUGAGCCACACAGUUGCUGCUGGCAUGUUUGCAAUAUAGCACAAGGUGCUGUAAAAUGAAGAUAUAUUGUUAAAUAUCAUGAGACAGAAAUAAAAGAUGAAGAUCUAGCUGUACCCGUCCCGAGCCACACUACUGCAGCCACGUUGCUGCUGGCAUUUUUGCAAAAUAGCACAAGGUCACAACAAUUGAUGUAACAAAUAUAAUCAAUGGACCAGGCACCUGCACCAUGAUUCUUUGGAAUACUAAAAUUCGUCUCUUUAUGUCUGUACUUCUCAUAACGAAAAAUGUCACGUUUUUAUGAAAGAAAUAAUGGAAUCAAAUAAUAAAUAAAACAAGCAUAUGCUGGAAGUCCUCAGAAACAGCUCCGACUUUGAUGAUUUUUUUUUUAAAGUCAUGUUUUUUAUGUUAUUUAAAAUCAGAAAUGUUUUGAUGGACGAAAUUAUUUAAAUUGUUAAAAAAUAUCUAUGCUAUUUAUACAUAUUUUUUUUUAAAUACAACCGACUUCAAAAAUACAAACUUAUGCAGAAAACUAACAAACGAAAGAAAAUAUUAUAAUAUUUUCUAUCUAUUGAUCACUUUGAAGCCAAUGGUCCAAUUAAUGGGCCUACAAUUAGUUAUCUAUUGUUUUCCUAGCUAUAGGGUUCGAAUUGCUUUUUCAUAUCUUUAAAAGACUAUCUUCGGAAUGAACCCUUUAUAAUAAAAAAGUAUUAUCAAAAUCGGACCACUCAAUAAAAAGUUAUACUUGGUUGUAUACUAAAAUUAAUGGUUAAACAAUCAAUCAUCCCCUGUUUUUGUAAUGUAAAACCAAGCAUAACUGUUAACAUGAGUAGUCCGAUUUUGAUAAUUCUUUUGAUUGAUCAUUCUUGAUUGUUUUAGUUUAAAACCAAGCAUGUCUUCAAAUUCCGAUUUGAAUAACUUUGUUUUAAAUAGAAAGGGUAUAUUCCGACAAUGGUCCCAAAUCAUUAUAAAUUUAAAAAAAACAAGAGAUGACUGGUUAUUUUCCCAUUAAUGUAUUGUAAAAAUAUGCGUAACUUAUUACGAAGUGGUCCGAUUUCGUAAAUUCUUUAUAGAUUGUAAAGGUAUUUUGAUUGUAAAGCUCCCAUAUAAAUUUUAAAAAACAAUUCCAAUCCUAAAUGUGCGAUUGAUUGUUUUCUCAUUCAUUUUAAUGUAAAACCAAGCCUAACUUUUUAUUGGGUGGUUCGAUUUUGAUUAUUCUUUAUUUUAAUAGAACGGGUAUAUUCCUAAGUCUCAAACCUAAUAGUAGGAAAAUAGAAGAUGAUUAAUUGUUUUCCCAUUUAUUGUAAUGUUAAACUAUGCGUAACUUUUUACUGAGUGGACCGAUUUUGAAAAUUCUUUACUUUUUGUAAAGGGUUUAUUUCGAAGUAGGUCCCAUAUAAAUUUCGGAAAACAAUUCGAAUCCUUAAGGUGGAAAAAAACGGUACGAUUGAUUGCCUACCCAUUAAUUGUACAAUUGGCACCGGCUUCAGUAAUCAGUAGAUAGAAAAUAUUAUAAUGUUUUCUUCAGCUUAUUAGUUUACUGCAUAACUUUGUGUUUUUGGUAGUGAUUGUUUUUUAAUUAUUUAUUAUAUAAAUAGCAUAACUAUUGUUAAAUAGUAUAAAUCGUUCCAUCCUCACUCCAAAAGGUUUCUGAUUUCAAAUGAUAUGAAGAAACAAACUGAACAAAAAUAAUCAUCAAAAUCAGAGCUGUUUCUGAGGAGGUAGAGGGUAAAUGCUCUAUUGAUUCGCCUAAAAGUAAUAUUAUGUUAUCGCAUUCGGUUGUAAAUUUUGGCUAGUGAAAGUAGAGACUGAAAUUGCCCGCCAAAUUUAAAAAUCAUAUAAACAAAUUAAAAAAACAUGUGUUUUCAUAAUUUAUUUAGAUUAGUUUUUCUUUGUGAAUACAUUAUUACCUAUACUAUAAGUGUUAAACUCAGUUAUUCCAAUAUUUGCACUAUAAUUUUGAGAAUUUACUCCGAUUUUUUAAAAUUUGGCGGGUGGUUUCAGUUUCUACUUUCAUUAGCCAAAUUCUAAUAAUUUUAUUGUUUAUGAAAUUUAUACUAAUUAGAAAGAGGAAGAAUUUGAUUAUUUGUUUGUUUGCAUUGAAUAGGCUGUGAAACUACUUUGCUGAUUUAAAAAUUUCUUACAGCAUUAUAAUCAUGGAUUAGGCCAUAAUUGUUAUCUCUGUAUUCCCACGGGAACGAGAACUACGCUGGUGAAACUGCGUGACGUUUGCAUAGUUUAUCAUAUGUACAAAUAUCCCGACAAUCUAUAUUUUUAUGUAUGAAUUAGUUACGUUAUAAUUGACUUGAUUUUCCAAAAUAUCUCAGUGAAGUCACCCAAUUGUGUAAUUGUGUAAGUGCAUAAGAUUUUUUAUUUGAUAAUAAAGACAUUUCAACUUGAAACUGUUA
Molecule: long non-coding RNA, 7028 nt
Organism: Bicyclus anynana (squinting bush brown)
Lineage: Eukaryota; Metazoa; Arthropoda; Insecta; Lepidoptera; Nymphalidae
Exons: 12
Source: RefSeq, a predicted model, not a curated record